RNAcentral lists this small RNA (367 nucleotides) under Melanoleuca substrictipes. RNAcentral describes it as "eukaryotic LSU rRNA". The stretch from base 1 to 120 matches the Rfam family "5.8S ribosomal RNA", at positions 35 to 154 of the family's 154-position model. The record is from RNAcentral. Lineage: Eukaryota; Fungi; Basidiomycota; Agaricomycetes; Agaricales; Pluteaceae.
GAUGAAGAACGCAGCGAAAUGCGAUAAGUAAUGUGAAUUGCAGAAUUCAGUGAAUCAUCGAAUCUUUGAACGCACCUUGCGCUCCUUGGUAUUCCGAGGAGCAUGCCUGUUUGAGUGUCAUUAAAUUCUCAAUCCUUUCUGGGUUUAUUCUCAGCUAGGGUUGGAUAUGGGGGUUUUGCCGGUUUUGCAAAAAGCAAAGUCAGCUCUCCUGAAAGUCAUUAGCAAGACUCUUGUUGCAACUGUCUAUCUGGUGUGAUAAUUAUCUACAUCAUAGAUUGUAUGCAGUUUACUAUGUCUAGCUUCUAACAGUCCAUUGAAUUGGACAAAACUCUGACAAUUUGACCUCAAAUCAGGUAGGACUACCCGC